GUGUCAGCAGCCGCGGUAAGACGAACCGUGCGAACGUUAUUCGGAAUCACUGGGCUUAAAGCGCGUGUAGGCGGGCCGGCACGUCGGAUGCUGAAAGCCCCCGGCUCAACCGGGGAACGGGCACCGAUACGACCGGCCUGGAGGGGGGUAGGGGGAGCCGGAACUCACGGUGGAGCGGUGAAAUGCGUUGAGAUCGUGAGGAACGCCCGUGGCGAAAGCGGGCUCCUGGACCCCGCCUGACGCUGAGACGCGAAAGCCAGGGGAGCGAACGGGAUUAGAUACCCCCGUAGUCC
RNAcentral lists this ribosomal RNA (293 nucleotides) under uncultured bacterium. RNAcentral describes it as "partial 16S ribosomal RNA". It matches the Rfam family "Bacterial small subunit ribosomal RNA", at positions 505 to 796 of the family's 1533-position model. The record is from RNAcentral.